This is a long non-coding RNA of Amphibalanus amphitrite, 660 nucleotides long. RefSeq lists it as uncharacterized. The record is from RefSeq and is a predicted model, not a curated record. The transcript has 2 exons. NCBI's taxonomy places the organism in Eukaryota, Metazoa, Arthropoda, Thecostraca, Balanomorpha, Balanidae.
CGGAGUGCUUUGCGGCGAUCGUUAUUUUGCUUUUACGUGUGAUUACGUGUGUUUAAAGAAGAAGUUGGGGCGGCAUAUUUUAUAUUGAAAGUUUGACCAGCUACCAGCCAUUGGUUCUGGAUCAGCCUGUUUUAUGAGCACUGGACUGGAAGGAUGGGGACUGGGGCUGGGGCAAGAUCAUGAUGGCAAUGCUUGUGUGGUGCCUUGAGUGUUAAGCAUGUAUGUGUAUUGGGUGUUGUAUACAGUGCCUUCGUGUUAAUGUUUGUAAAUGCCAGUGUUUGCUUAAUUUAACUGUUUGAUUGAUGCUUAGGGAUGACAUUGGGCAAUAAUGUAUGUAUUGCUAGGAUGUUUGAUAUUGAAAGUAGUUUUGUGUAUCACUUAUGUUUAUAAAGACCAAUGGACACCUGAACCCUGAUGCGUUAAGGCGUGGAGAUCUACUGGUCAUGUUUGUAUCCAUACGUCUCCACUUCCCUACUUGCCCCUUGUUCUAUCAAUGGCCUCCGUUACUGGAGGGCAGUGGGCACUGAUCAGUGUUUUUUAGAUGUCUGUGAACUUGUCCGUCCUUGGGAGUUGUUUCUGAUGGGCUGUUGUUUUGAAGAAAGCUAAUGCUGAGCGCUGUAGAUCGGUGAGUUUUUGUUGCAAAUAGAAUCGUCUCAUUCA